GGUGGUAUAGCCAAGUGGAUAAGGCCCAGGUCUGCAAAACCUGUACCCUCGGUUCGAAUCCGAGUAUCACCU
Molecule: transfer RNA, 72 nt
Filed under: Priestia aryabhattai
Lineage: Bacteria; Bacillati; Bacillota; Bacilli; Caryophanales; Bacillaceae
Description: Bacillus aryabhattai tRNA-Cys
Rfam family: tRNA
About the family: Transfer RNA (tRNA) molecules are approximately 80 nucleotides in length. Their secondary structure includes four short double-helical elements and three loops (D, anti-codon, and T loops).
Source: RNAcentral